AAGUCGUAACAUGGUAAGCGUACCGGAAGGUGCGCUUGGAAA
RNAcentral lists this ribosomal RNA (42 nucleotides) under Smilisca baudinii (Mexican treefrog). RNAcentral describes it as "partial 12S ribosomal RNA". RNAcentral also lists the same sequence under 1 other name. Lineage: Eukaryota; Metazoa; Chordata; Amphibia; Anura; Hylidae. The record is from RNAcentral.